UAACAGGGCCCAUCAAUUGGCAUAAACACAUCGAAAGACAACCAGAGAAGGAACUCUGGGUACUAGAUGACAUCUAGGUAGAAGAACUCCUUGCCAUCCCCACCAAUCAACGCCUCCUUCCAGCUUAUCCUGCUAGGUGUUCUUGACUGUAAUCCGAUUGCUUCUGGUUGCCUCCUUGACUCUCAGCAACGUGAAGGCCAUCAGUGAGUUUAAUUCGGUUGUACGUGCUCCCACAUUGAUAGAAAAACAAAAGAAAGCAAGUUACUCAUGUGGCCUGAAAUAAACUCUGCAAUAAACACAAAGAGAGGGGCAAAAUCGAACCUUCUUCAAGCGAUUUGGGCUAGCAGGACUGGAAGACCAGGGGGAUUUGAUUGAUACGGCUAGAUGACUGUCUAGUACACCAGCUCCUCGACAGAUGGCUCCUUUCCACUCGCUUGGCGCUGCAGGAUUGCUCCCGAGAGGCCGAGACAACUUUCGGAGCUGUCUCCUGGUCACCGCUCUUGAAUAUAACAACUUCCGGUGCUCAUAAUUCCGAGGUCAUAUGAAUAUAACAGCUCAAAUCAUGACUUAAGACAUGUUCAAGAAUGAAAAUGUUGGACAAAGGAUAUUCCGAACUCAUAAACCUUUCUAAGAAUUUGGGGAGAUUUAUUCCAACUUUGCAAGUGAAAAUUAGGUAUCAUAAAUCAUAAGAUCAAGCCGUUCCACUGUUUUUUUUUCAAUCUCAAUUUAUGACUUUUGCAUACACCUAUAUGUACUACCAUAAUUAAUUCAUAAAUUUGACCGUGCAUAAGCUUUAAACUGCCAAAAAAGACUUUAACUACUACAACUCCAACAGAAAAAUGAAACAUUUGUUUAGUCAAGAUGAAUAGAGUAAGACAGUUAUAUUUACUUAGCAGGAACUAAUAGGACACCCUGCAGAACAAAUACAAAUGAGAAAAUAAUCACAGUUCACAAUAGAGUAGAUCGACCUUAAUGGCACCUAACGCAUCACUCAGUUGAAAAUUAAUCACAAUAUUAAAUGAGCAUUACCUAGUCCAUAAAUCCCACCAAGCUUGUCACUAGAGGAAUUUUAAUCGCAACAAUCAGAAAAUUGCAGAUCUCAAACAACUAAUGCUUAGAAAAUUCAAAAUCUGCAAAUACAAAAAGUAAACAUUAGAUAACCAUGACCUACCAUUUGACAUUAUUAUUAUAAAUCUAAUAAGGCAAUGGGUUUAACAAAAAGAUUGAGAUAAUCAUUUAGGCCAGAAUAAAGUGAGAUAAGAUAACAUAGACGGUGAAGGCAAUGCCAGUGCUGCAGAUGUCACAAAAACAGUAGCCUGAUGUGAGAGCACAUCACAACUCAGCUUAAGUAGAUCAAUUUAUUUAUCAAAGAAGACGAUUACAACUUAACUUUAUCUGACUUGAACACAUGAACAGGACUCUGUAACACAGGGAUCAUCUAUUGACAUACACACAUCGAAAGACAACCAUAGGAGGAACUGUUACUACAAAGCUUGGGAAGAUUCGACUAGAUGAAAACUGGGUAGAAGAACGGAACUGUUACUACAAAGCUUGGGAAGAUUCGACUAGAUGAUGACAACUAGGUAGAAGAACUCCUCGCCAUCGCCACCAAUCCACGCCUCCUCUUCACUGCCUUUGCCUUCAAGGUUCAAGCACAUCCUGCUAGGUGUUCUUCACUUGUAAUCCGAUUACUUCCGGUUGCCUCCUCAACUCUCAGCAACGUGAAGGCGGGGGGGGGUUGUAGGUGCUCCCACAUUGACAGAAAAACAAGAGAAAGCAAGUUACUCAUGUGGCCUGAAAUAAACUCUGCAAUAAACACAAAGAGAGGGGGGAAAUCGAACCUUCUUCAAGCUAUUUGGGCCAGCAGGACCGGAACACCAGGGGGAUUUGAUUGAUACGGCUAGAUGACUGUCCAGUAGACCAGCUCCUCGACAGUAGGCUUCUUUUCGCUCCCUUGGCGCUCGAGGAUUUCUUCUGCGACAACUUCCGGACCUUUCUCCUGGUCACGACUGUUCUGCGCCUCAGUCACGACGAGGCAGCCGCGGUGGCCGGAAGGGGGAGCAGCUGGGCCUCGCCGACGGCGCAGGGCGAGGCUCCGGUCCAGGAUCGCCGACGACCAACCUGCAGCCUCGGAGUCGUCGGCGAGAAGGAGAUCCCCGCAGCGGCCUCUCUUCUUCUCGGCGGGGACGCGCAUCUGCGCCGGCUGGACGGGAUCCACGAACGUGAAAGAGCCGAGCAUGGCGUUCGGUCCCUGCGGUGGGAUCUCGACGGACGACAUGGCGGCGGCGGCGGCGGCUGUGGAGAUCGAAACCCUAGAUCUGGCUUGGAGCAACGAAAGCGCGGGAGGAAGGAAAGAAUUGAGCGGAAGCAGAGAUGAGAAAUUAUCGAUCUGGACGAGGUUGAAUACGGCUUUAUACUAGUAUCUGAAACAAG
Molecule: long non-coding RNA, 2433 nt
Filed under: Hordeum vulgare
Lineage: Eukaryota; Viridiplantae; Streptophyta; Magnoliopsida; Poales; Poaceae
Description: long non-coding RNA (HVUL_LNC020945)
Source: RNAcentral